CCUACGGGUGGCAGCAGUGGGGAAUAUUGCACAAUGGGGGAAACCCUGAUGCAGCGACGCCGCGUGAGUGAAGAAGUAAUUCGGUACGUAAAGCUCUAUCAGCAGGGAAGAAAAUGACGGUACCUGACUAAGAAGCCCCGGCUAACUACGUGCCAGCAGCCGCGGUAAUACGUAGGGGGCAAGCGUUAUCCGGAUUUACUGGGUGUAAAGGGAGCGUAGACGGUGCGGCAAGUCUGGUGUGAAAUGCCGGAGCUUAACUGCGGAACUGCAUUGGAAACUGUCGAACUGGAGUGCGGGAGGGGUAAGCGGAAUUCCUAGUGUAGCGGUGAAAUGCGUAGAUAUUAGGAGGAACACCAGUGGCGAAGGCGGCUUACUGGACUGUAACUGACGUUGAGGCUCGAAAGCGUGGGGAGCAAACAGGAUUAGAUACCCUGGUAGUC
RNAcentral lists this ribosomal RNA (440 nucleotides) under uncultured bacterium. Its description in RNAcentral is "partial 16S ribosomal RNA". It matches the Rfam family "Bacterial small subunit ribosomal RNA", at positions 338 to 795 of the family's 1533-position model. The record is from RNAcentral.